Molecule: ribosomal RNA, 352 nt
Filed under: uncultured bacterium
Lineage: Bacteria
Description: bacterial SSU rRNA
Rfam family: Bacterial small subunit ribosomal RNA
Source: RNAcentral
UAGCCUUGACAUUGAUAGAAUAAUUCAGAGAUGAGUUAGUGCCCUUCGGGGAGCUUGAAAACAGGUGCUGCACGGCUGUCGUCAGCUCGUGUCGUGAGAUGUUGGGUUAAGUCCCGCAACGAGCGCAACCCUCGUCCUUAGUUGCCAGCAGGUUAAGCUGGGCACUCUAAGGAGACUGCCUUCGCAAGGAGGAGGAAGGUGAGGACGACGUCAAGUCAUCAUGGCCCUUAUGGCUAGGGCUACACACGUGCUACAAUGGGGCGUACAGAGUGUUGCGAUACCGUGAGGUGGAGCUAAUCACUUAAAGCGUCUCUCAGUCCGGAUUGUUCUCUGCAACUCGAGAGCAUGAAGC